This 484-nucleotide ribosomal RNA is filed under the name uncultured bacterium. RNAcentral's name for it is "partial 16S ribosomal RNA". It matches the Rfam family "Bacterial small subunit ribosomal RNA", at positions 30 to 507 of the family's 1533-position model. The record is from RNAcentral.
AUUGAACGCUGGCGGCAGGCCUAACACAUGCAAGUCGAGCGGAUGAAGGGAGCUUGCUCCUGGAUUCAGCGGCGGACGGGUGAGUAAUGCCUAGGAAUCUGCCUGGUAGUGGGGGAUAACGUCCGGAAACGGGCGCUAAUACCGCAUACGUCCUGAGGGAGAAAGUGGGGGAUCUUCGGACCUCACGCUAUCAGAUGAGCCUAGGUCGGAUUAGCUAGUUGGUGGGGUAAAGGCCUACCAAGGCGACGAUCCGUAACUGGUCUGAGAGGAUGAUCAGUCACACUGGAACUGAGACACGGGCCAGACUCCUACGGGAGGCAGCAGUGGGGAAUAUUGGACAAUGGGCGAAAGCCUUAUCCAGCCCUGCCGCGUGUGUGAAGAAGGUCUUCGGAUUGUAAAGCACUUUUAGUUGGGAGGAAGGGCAGUAAGUUAAUACCUUGCUGUUUUGACGUUACCAACAGAAUAAGCACCGGCUAACUUCGUG